RNAcentral lists this ribosomal RNA (347 nucleotides) under uncultured fungus. RNAcentral's name for it is "eukaryotic LSU rRNA". The stretch from base 1 to 72 matches the Rfam family "5.8S ribosomal RNA", at positions 84 to 154 of the family's 154-position model. Lineage: Eukaryota; Fungi. The record is from RNAcentral.
GUGAAUCAUCGAGUCUUUGAACGCAAAUUGCGCUUUCGGGAUAGGCCUGAAAGCAUGUUUCUUUGAGCCUCGUGUCUAACCCACCUCGGCUGCGUGCCGGAAAAUGAAAGUCCUGUAGCAUGGAACGCAGGUCUUUUUUAAGAUUAUUGAGUCCUUGACUUGAUCUGCCUUGCUCUACAUCUGUUGCGGGCGCCGCGAUUAAAAGUCCCGAGCUUUUUCUCGUCGUCAGCGAUGGCUUUCGGGCGAAGCGAAUCAUGCGCAUUGGACGAUACGGAAACAUUUUUUGACUUUAGAGCUCAAAUGAAGCAAGAUAACCCGCUGAACUUAAGCAUAUCAAUAAGGCGAGG